Molecule: ribosomal RNA, 484 nt
Filed under: uncultured bacterium
Lineage: Bacteria
Description: partial 16S ribosomal RNA
Rfam family: Bacterial small subunit ribosomal RNA
Source: RNAcentral
AAUGAACGUUGGCGGCGUGGAUUAGGCAUGCAAGUCGCGCGAUAAGUCCCCGCAAGGGGACGGAAAGCGGCGAAAGGGACAGUAAUGCGUAGAUACCUACCCUCGGGCUCGGGAUAGCUGCGGGAAACUGCAAUUAAUAACGAAGAACGUCUCCGGACCAAAGGUGUGAUUCCGCCUGGAGAUGGGGCUGCGUCCUAUUAGCUAGUUGGCGUGGUAACGGCACACAAAGGCAAAGAUGGGUAGCAGGUGUGAGAGCACGACCUGCGUCACCGGGACUGAGACACUGCCCAGACACCUACGGGUGGCUGCAGUCGAGGAUCUUCGGCAAUGGGCGCAAGCCUGACCGAGCGACGCCGCGUGCGGGAUGAAGGCCUUCGGGUUGUAAACCGCUGUCAGAGAGGCGGAAAUAUAGGGGGGUUCUCCCUUCUAUUUGACCUAUUCUCAGAGGAAGUGCGGGCUAAGUCCGUGCCAGCAGCCGCCGUAA